CUGCAUCCACUGAUAGACCUGAGGUUGCCUUCAGUGCCUUCUGGGUUUGCAUGGAGAUGCUAAAGCAAAAUGUCCUUGUGCUUUCUGGCUGCUUCACUUCAUAGCUGCACAGAUUGAAUUAGGGAACACAUGU
Cynoglossus semilaevis (tongue sole) is the source of this 133-nucleotide small nucleolar RNA. RefSeq annotates it as small nucleolar RNA SNORA31. The transcript has a single exon. The record is from RefSeq and is a predicted model, not a curated record. NCBI's taxonomy places the organism in Eukaryota, Metazoa, Chordata, Actinopteri, Pleuronectiformes, Cynoglossidae.